GGUUAAGCGACUAAGCGUACACGGUGGAUGCCCUGGCAGUCAGAGGCGAUGAAGGACGUGCUAAUCUGCGAAAAGCGCCGGCGAGGUGAUAUGAACCUUUGACCCGGCGAUGUCCGAA
RNAcentral lists this ribosomal RNA (118 nucleotides) under Enterobacter hormaechei. RNAcentral's name for it is "partial 23S ribosomal RNA". It matches the Rfam family "Bacterial large subunit ribosomal RNA", at positions 1 to 118 of the family's 2925-position model. The record is from RNAcentral. Lineage: Bacteria; Pseudomonadati; Pseudomonadota; Gammaproteobacteria; Enterobacterales; Enterobacteriaceae.